RNAcentral lists this ribosomal RNA (468 nucleotides) under uncultured bacterium. Its description in RNAcentral is "partial 16S ribosomal RNA". It matches the Rfam family "Bacterial small subunit ribosomal RNA", at positions 29 to 507 of the family's 1533-position model. The record is from RNAcentral.
AUGAACGCUGGCGGCGUGCUUAACCCAUGCAAGUCGAACGGUGAACACGGAGCUUGCUCUGUGGGAUCAGUGGCGAACGGGUGAGUAACACGUGAGCAACCUGCCCCUGACUCUGGGAUAAGCGCUGGAAACGGCGUCUAAUACUGGAUAUGUGACGUGACCGCAUGGUCUGCGUUUGGAAAGAUUUUUCGGUUGGGGAUGGGCUCGCGGCCUAUCAGCUUGUUGGUGAGGUAAUGGCUCACCAAGGCGUCGACGGGUAGCCGGCCUGAGAGGGUGACCGGCCACACUGGGACUGAGACACGGCCCAGACUCCUACGGGAGGCAGCAGUGGGGAAUAUUGCACAAUGGGCGCAAGCCUGAUGCAGCAACGCCGCGUGAGGGAUGACGGCCUUCGGGUUGUAAACCUCUUUUAGCAGGGAAGAAGCGAAAGUGACGGUACCUGCAGAAAAAGCGCCGGCUAACUACGUG